Molecule: transfer RNA, 71 nt
Filed under: Chelonia mydas (Green sea turtle)
Lineage: Eukaryota; Metazoa; Chordata; Testudines; Cheloniidae
Rfam family: tRNA
About the family: Transfer RNA (tRNA) molecules are approximately 80 nucleotides in length. Their secondary structure includes four short double-helical elements and three loops (D, anti-codon, and T loops). Further hydrogen bonds mediate the characteristic L-shaped molecular structure. tRNAs have two regions of fundamental functional importance: the anti-codon, which is responsible for specific mRNA codon recognition, and the 3' end, to which the tRNAs corresponding amino acid is attached (by aminoacyl-tRNA synthetases). tRNAs cope with the degeneracy of the genetic code in two manners: having more than one tRNA (with a specific anti-codon) for a particular amino acid; and 'wobble' base-pairing, i.e. permitting non-standard base-pairing at the 3rd anti-codon position.
Source: Rfam by way of RNAcentral
GGCAGUGUGGCUUGGUGACCAGGUACUGGACUGGGACUCAGGAGACCUAGGUUCAAUUCCCAGCUUUGCCA